UGGCAGAGUGGUUAAAAGCACUCGGCUGCUAACCGAGAGGUUGGUGGUGAAAACCCACU
Molecule: transfer RNA, 59 nt
Filed under: Loxodonta africana (African savanna elephant)
Lineage: Eukaryota; Metazoa; Chordata; Mammalia; Proboscidea; Elephantidae
Rfam family: tRNA
About the family: Transfer RNA (tRNA) molecules are approximately 80 nucleotides in length.
Source: Rfam by way of RNAcentral